CCAAAGCUCAGCUGUGACAGGAAGCACUGUGUGUGCAUGGUGGCAACUUGGUUGGAGGGGGGUGGAGAAUGCAUAGAGUGGAAGAGGAAAAAGAGGACCCCCUCAGGAAGGAUGUGGUGAGAUGGUGCAACUGAAAAAAUUCCAUGUGAAGGAGAUGACAAAUUCUACAUUGUCAUUGUCUACGAGAGCAUCCAUUUGUCUGGGCCAAAGAUUACACGUUUGUGUUGGAGUGCUAUACAUGCCCCUUUCUGAGUUCAAAAACAUUUUUAAAACUAAAGAGGACUGUUGGUUCCUUCCCUAAAAUUAUAGCUUUCAUUUGGCUCAUGAAUCCACUGUUUGUUUGACUCAGGAUCCAAACGCUGCCCAUACAUCUCUGUA
This is a long non-coding RNA of Ailuropoda melanoleuca (giant panda), 378 nucleotides long. RefSeq lists it as uncharacterized. The transcript has 3 exons. NCBI's taxonomy places the organism in Eukaryota, Metazoa, Chordata, Mammalia, Carnivora, Ursidae. The record is from RefSeq and is a predicted model, not a curated record.